GAAAAAGAAAAAAAAAAAGAGAAACGAAAAGAGAGUGAGAGAAAAUUAGAGUGGAAAAAUAAAGAUCAAAAGGAAAAAAAAAGAGAGGUGCAUUCGACCAUAGAAAAAAAUAAGGGAAAGAAAAUGAGCUUUUAUGCUAAAAUGAAAGAUGUGAGAAAAGCUUUAUUUUCUAAUAAGCAAAUGAUUGUACUCAUGUACAAGAAAGCUUGUUUCUCAACUAACGAACUUGACCCUUCUUUG
This 240-nucleotide long non-coding RNA is filed under the name Carica papaya (papaya). Its description in RNAcentral is "long non-coding RNA (CPAP_LNC010439)". Lineage: Eukaryota; Viridiplantae; Streptophyta; Magnoliopsida; Brassicales; Caricaceae. The record is from RNAcentral.